Molecule: long non-coding RNA, 308 nt
Filed under: Heterocephalus glaber (naked mole-rat)
Lineage: Eukaryota; Metazoa; Chordata; Mammalia; Rodentia; Bathyergidae
Description: lncRNA (ENSHGLG00000045439.1)
Source: RNAcentral
CCAUUAUGCUCCAGGCCCCUCCACCUCCUUCUUCCUCACACAGAAGUUAGACAAAAAGGCAACUGUUGGGAAAAGGCAGGACAUGGAAACAGAAACUCAUGGCAGCAGCUGCUGAGCUAAGUCUUGGGCUUCAGCUUGUGAGUUUAUUAUUGUAACGGAUGUUAUCUGUACCACAGGCAGCCCACAGAGCAGGCAUUCACUGGGCUGCUGGGCUGUGAAGCUGAAUGUGGAUUCUGAUCACAGAGAUCGAACUCAGGACCUUGUGCUUGCCAGGAGGGCACUCGUGCUACUGAGCUAAACCUCUGAUC